UAGCAGAGAAGUCUUGAUUCAUGAUCUUGGGGAAAAGCUGUCCAAGUCAAGGAUGCUGUCUUCUUCUGGGGAGAAACUUCCCUGGACGUAUAACAUUGGAAAGAAGCAAUUUACUCAUCUAGACUUGGAGAGUCUGGCUCAACAUCAAAUUAAAAUCAUGCUGGUGUUCACGUGAGGGUGCUUUUGUGCAAAGCUGGAGAAGCACGGGAUGUGAAGGGCCUUGCUGGAGGCAGAGCUCUGCAGA
RNAcentral lists this long non-coding RNA (244 nucleotides) under Homo sapiens (human). Its description in RNAcentral is "HSALNT0314279". Lineage: Eukaryota; Metazoa; Chordata; Mammalia; Primates; Hominidae. The record is from RNAcentral.